Daphnia magna is the source of this 1240-nucleotide long non-coding RNA. RefSeq lists it as uncharacterized. NCBI's taxonomy places the organism in Eukaryota, Metazoa, Arthropoda, Branchiopoda, Diplostraca, Daphniidae. The record is from RefSeq and is a predicted model, not a curated record. The transcript is spliced from 4 exons.
AGUUUUAUUGAAUUCCAAGUCAAAAUUCUAAGCCGAUUUUUUUAACAAAAAGUCGGGCUUAAAAUGUUGAGCUUAAUUAAUCAAGUAAAACUAGAUAAUUUACCAAUAGAUGGCUACACUGUUUAGUGUUUAGUGGAUCCUGCAGUAGAAAUUCAUGGUUCAUCAGAUGUGGCCUAGUUGUUAGGGAUUCGAGACGUUUUCAGCGAGGGGAUAAUGUUCAGUGCGAUCCGUUUUAAACAUUCUUUUGGCUACUGGUUGGAAUAGACUAAAAUUUGCAAUUUUUUCGUACCAACCUUAGGGACAAUUUUUUCCCACAACACACCAUUGUUUGUAUUGAUUGUUGUUGUAGUAGGUUAUGACGUAACUGAAAUAACCAUUCGUCUGAAGUGCGCCACCGCCAUUGUCAACACGAAUCAUCUUCUGAUACGUUGUCCGGUUUUAAAAAAUCUUUUAUUACUUAAAUGUAUUUUUGUAAUUCCUUGGCCCUUGACACUAUUUAACCAACAAAGAAACCGCCUUUUUCAUCUUGCCAUUAACACGGAUACCUUUGUCUAAUCUGAUCGUGUAAACAUGCUGAUCCGAUCUUGCCACUGGCCGAAGCCUUUUUUUUCAAAUUUUGCAUCCUUCCAUUUAAAGAUAUCUAAUACAAGCAUUCUGGCAUGUGUCAGGCAAUAGGGUACAGGAAUCGCAUGGUCCCCUUUAGGUGUCAAGCCUGGCCUACACCCUCUGUAAUUGAAACUGUAUUGGUAAAAGUAAUUACAUUGAGGUAGAGUGUCAAUUUGGGACUUGAUUUGUCAUCUGUUGGUCAAGGUGGAAAAACAGGGAUUGGAUCAACAAUUUUAUUCCCACACUCAUUUUUGGAAUUCUUGGAUCAUAGCUGUUGUUGCAGGACACUCCUUGUUUGGGACUUGAUUUGUCACCAUUUGUCGAUUUGGAAAAACAGGGAUUGGACCAACCAUUUUAUUCCCACACUUAUCAUUGGAAUUCUAGCAUGGUAGCUGUUGUUGCAGGACACUCCUUGGUUCGUUAGUGAGGUUCCAGAAAGCAGCAUUCCAAGAGCAAGAAUCUAGUUUACAGGCUAUUACCACAAUCUAUAAUGUUUAACUUUGUUUUCCUGCCUUGAUGGUGAAAUUGAAUUAUAUUGGAAUCUAAAAAUUUGAGAAGCUAUUUUUGCUUACUAGUGAGAAAGCAUAUGUUAAGAGUUGCUGAAAUGUGUGAAACAUGCAAUAUGCAAAACUUU